Molecule: long non-coding RNA, 289 nt
Organism: Sinocyclocheilus grahami
Lineage: Eukaryota; Metazoa; Chordata; Actinopteri; Cypriniformes; Cyprinidae
Exons: 3
Source: RefSeq, a predicted model, not a curated record
UGACAGCAAGAGGAGUAAGAACAAGGCUUUCCUGUAUGAGAUUGUGGUAAAUCAAUGGAAUGGCGUUGAUGUGCGCAAAUGGGACUAUUUUGCACGAGACUGUCAUUACCUUGGUAUCCCAAACAGCUUUGACCAUCAGCGCAUGCUGAAAUCUGCUCGUGUGUGUGAGGUGGACGGGAGAAAACACAUCUGCUUCAGAGACAAGGUGGCAGAUAUGAUUUAUGACAUGUUUUACACCAGAUACACUCUGUAUCUGCAGGCCUACCAGCACAAGAUCGGCAACAUCAUC